RNAcentral lists this ribosomal RNA (455 nucleotides) under uncultured bacterium. Its description in RNAcentral is "bacterial SSU rRNA". It matches the Rfam family "Bacterial small subunit ribosomal RNA", at positions 29 to 524 of the family's 1533-position model. The record is from RNAcentral.
AACGAACGCCGGCGGCAUGCCUAACACAUGCAAGUCGAACGAUGGCUUCGGCCAUAGUGGCGCACGGGUGAGUAACGCGUGGGAACCUGCCUUUUGGUUUGGGAUAACUCCGGGAAACUGGAGCUAAUACCGGAUGAGCCCGAGCAAUCGGGGAAAGAUUUAUCGCCAAAAAGAGGGGCCCGCGUCCGAUUAGGUAGUUGGUGGGGUAACGGCCUACCAAGCCUACGAUCGGUAGCUGGUCUGAGAGGAUGAUCAGCCACACUGGGACUGAGACACGGCCCAGACUCCUACGGGAGGCAGCAGUGGGGAAUAUUGGACAAUGGGCGCAAGCCUGAUCCAGCAAUGCCGCGUGGAUGAUGAAGGCCUUAGGGUUGUAAAGUCCUUUCGGCGGGGACGAUGAUGACGGUACCCGCAGAAGAAGCCCCGGCUAACUUCGUGCCAGCAGCCGCGGUAAU